UGCCAGCAGCCGCGGUAAUACGGAGGGUGCAAGCGUUGUCCGGAUUUAUUGGGUUUAAAGGGUACGUAGGCGGCCAAUUAAGUCAGUGGUGAAAGCCAGCAGCUCAACUGUUGAACUGCCAUUGAUACUGAUUGGCUCGAGUUCUGUUAAGGUAGGCGGAAUUGAUGGUGUAGCGGUGAAAUGCAUAGAUACCAUCAGGAACACCGAUUGCGAAGGCAGCUUACUAGGCAGAAACUGACGCUAAUGUACGAAAGCGUGGGGAUCGAACAGGAUUAGAUA
RNAcentral lists this ribosomal RNA (279 nucleotides) under uncultured bacterium. Its description in RNAcentral is "partial 16S ribosomal RNA". It matches the Rfam family "Bacterial small subunit ribosomal RNA", at positions 506 to 784 of the family's 1533-position model. The record is from RNAcentral.